GGAGGAAAGCAGGGGAUCGCAAGACCUUGCGCUCAUUGAGCGGCCGAUGCCUGAUUAGCUAGUUGGUGAGGUAAAGGCUUACCAAGGCGACGAUCAGUAGCUGGUCUGAGAGGACGACCAGCCACACUGGGACUGAGACACGGCCCAGACUCCUACGGGAGGCAGCAGUGGGGAAUUUUGGACAAUGGGGGAAACCCUGAUCCAGCCAUGCCGCGUGAGUGAAGAAGGCCUUCGGGUUGUAAAGCUCUUUCAGCCGGAACGAAACGGUCACGGCUAAUACCUGUGACUACUGACGGUACCGGAAGAAGAAGCACCGGCUAACUACGUGCCAGCAGCCGCGGUAAUACGUAGGGUGCGAGCGUUAAUCGGAAUUACUGGGCGUAAAGCGUGCGCAGGCGGUUUUGUAAGUCAGAAGGGAAAUCCCCGGGCUUAACCUGGGAACUGCGU
This 447-nucleotide ribosomal RNA is filed under the name uncultured beta proteobacterium. RNAcentral's name for it is "bacterial SSU rRNA". It matches the Rfam family "Bacterial small subunit ribosomal RNA", at positions 198 to 626 of the family's 1533-position model. Lineage: Bacteria; Pseudomonadati; Pseudomonadota; Betaproteobacteria. The record is from RNAcentral.